ACGGCGGUGCCGGGGUACGGCGUCGGCAUCGGCUGGCGGCCGGAGAUCGCGGGGUUCGUGGCCGCGCUGCCGGGCC
Molecule: transfer RNA, 76 nt
Filed under: Pilimelia terevasa
Lineage: Bacteria; Bacillati; Actinomycetota; Actinomycetes; Micromonosporales; Micromonosporaceae
Description: tRNA-Ala
Source: RNAcentral